This 253-nucleotide ribosomal RNA is filed under the name uncultured bacterium. RNAcentral's name for it is "partial 16S ribosomal RNA". It matches the Rfam family "Bacterial small subunit ribosomal RNA", at positions 524 to 776 of the family's 1533-position model. The record is from RNAcentral.
UACGUAGGGGGCAAGCGUUGUCCGGAGUUACUGGGCGUAAAGCGCACGCAGGCGGUCUUUUAAGUUUGGAGUGACAGUUGGUGGCUUAACUGCCAAAGUGCGUCGAAAACUGAAAGACUUGAGGGCUUCAGAGGGACACGGAAUUCCGGGUGGAGUGGUGAAAUGCGUAGAGAUCCGGAGGAACACCAAAGGCGAAGGCAGUGUCCUGGGGAGUUCCUGACGCUCAGGUGCGAAAGCCAGGGGAGCGAACGGG